GAUUUGAGAUAUACACUCCCUUACUUCUUGCCUGCUCACUUGCAAUAAACUCUUUUCCUCCCUCCUCACCUUGGUGUGUCUUUAUUGAAGAGAGGCCUCACCGAGCAGGACCUACUUUGGGUAACGAAUUCUGGCAACUCCAGAUGGGACCACCACAGCACUGCCUGAUUCUUGAGUGUAGAUUCAUUUUGGCCCUCAAGGUUGGAGCUGACCUCAGGCCCCUCAGUGGCAGACUACAGGAGGAGAAAGGGAAAUGUGUCACGUGCCCCAAGAAGAGGGAAGAAACUCCCUUGUGGGGACUUAAGUCAAAAACCUGAGCUCCACCACAUAUGCAUUUGAAGAGACAUGCAGAACCACCCAGAACUGCUGAGAGAACAGAAGAUGUGCUUUUGAAGCCAGGCUCUGCAGGGGGAAAAAAAAGGUGACUAUUUUGCUUUUUGAAUUUCAAGCAAGCAGUUUGCUGUUGGAUGCAUCGAGGCAGGGAAAGUCAGUGUUCAUCAGAAAGAGCUCCCUUCCAGAACUGGAAGUUAAAGGGAUCCAAUGAGUAGACACCUUGGUCUCCUCACUUGUGACCUGGAUCCACUAAUGAGUGGAAGAAGGGGAAGAGCAGCAAUGAAGAUAUGAGCUGACUUUAGACGUGCUCCAUUAACACCCAUUAACCCAGCUCACCUGGGCUAGGGAAAAACCAAUGCAUGUGGUGUAAAAAAGAAGGGCAUUGGGAAAGAGAAUACCCUGAGAGACAUAGAGCCCAAAAUGAACCUGAAAGCGUUAUGAAACAACAAGAGGAAGAGGUGGACUGAGAGGGACCAGGGGCCAAUCUUAUUCCUGUUUCCCUUAAAGACCCCCUGGUUAAAAUAAAUGUUGGGGAGAAAUGAUUGACUUUUUAUUGGACACUGGAGCCAACUAUUUGGUUAUUAACAAUAUGAAAGGACCCUUAUCAAAGAAAUCAAUACCUGUGGUGGGAGUUAUGGGAAGAAAGCUUACUAAGAAUUUUAUUCAACCCAUGGAGUGUUGUUUGGAUUACCUGCUUCCGCAGGAAAUGAUAAUGGACUCUACUUCAUAGCUGACGUAACCCAAAAAGUUGUAUGUUUUUUGGACAUCAAAUGGUGACUACAUGCAGGCUGGAGACCACAAUCCAGUGGAAAGAUUUCAAGAAUGAACCAGACACUUAAAAGACACAUAGCAAAGAUACGCCCUUGCCAGCCAAGAAUACCCUCCUGAGGUGAUGGUCCACCCAUUUCAACCUGGAAAUUUGGUCCUGCUGUGUGCCUGGAAAGAUGAGCUUCUCCAGCCCAAGUGGAAAGGACCCUUCGAGGUGCUUCUCACUACCCAUAUGGCAGGCAAACUGAAGGGAGUCGAACCUCGGAUUCACCACACCUGGUUGAAAGUGGCACCUGCCGCAGACACUGACCCUACAACGACAACUCUUCAGGACGACUGGAACUGUAAGCCGUUACAAGACCUGAAGUAUCUGUUUAAGAGACUGUGAGUUUUUAGCCUAUAGUGUUUGUUAACUGUGUUGUUUUCUUUCCUGUUCAUAUUUCACAUGUUUAAGAUAGUAGGUCUCUUAAACUAGACCCUGUUUCAUCCAAAUAUGAAGCUGUAGUACCUCACCUUCAUUCUUCUUUUACUGUGUCCCUCACAUGGUCAUGGCAUAGUAAUGCUUUUGUCAGAUCAGCUCAAUCAGUAGCAAGUGUGACAAACAUGACUAAACGCUGGAUUUGUAAUAUGUCAGAAAGCUAUUUCGCUUCAUGUUUCUAACCAAGAUAGGUCAAAUAUCUUUGACUGGCUCACCUCCUGGUUACCUAACUAUAACUGGCUAAAGCAUUUGUUUACUAUUUUUAUUUUUCUAAAUCAUAACAGGACUUUUUGUCUGCUGUUCUAUACAGUACAAUCUCCCACAUCCAGGAGCUGUUUCCCAAAUUACAAAAUGCUCUCCACAACCCAGGGACUAUAGCUUAUCACCAUAUCCCCAAAGAAAAGGGGGAGUGACAGCUAAUGCAGCCAGAAACUGCUUACUCAUUAUCAAGCAAAACCUUAAGUGAUAGUAAUGAGUUGGCUUAAUUGGGUGCUGCUCAGACCAGUUGGAACCUACCCCAUCCUGUCCAUUUUCCUCAAAGCACUGGGUGUGGCUCAAGCCUGCCAAACCCAGCUUACGAGCCUACAUGCCACGGGAAAAAAAUGCAAUCUGUCUUACUGCCCCUGUGUGUCCUGAUAACCUAUGUAGUCCAUAAUGUUUGUAUGUACUUCCUUGUGAGAGACUGUAUAAAAGGCUCUGCCUCCCUUUGUUUGGGGAAGUUGAUUUGAGGUAUACACCUCCUUGCUCCUUGCCUGUGCACUUGCAAUAAACACUCUUCCUCUCUCCUCAUGUCGGUGUGUCUUUACUGUCGAGAAGCCACCCUGAGCAGGACCUGCUUUGGGUAACAGAACCAUAGGACCCAGCAAUUCCACCGCUAGAAAUAUUCCUAAGGGACUGGAAAGCAGCAAUCAGAAGAGACAUAUGUGUACCAGUGUUAAUUACAGAAUUAUUUACAAUAGCCAAAAGGUGGAAACAACCUAAAUGCCCAUCAUAGGAUGUAUGUUGCUGUUGUUGUUAGGUGCCGUUGAGUCAGUUCCGACUCAUAGAAACCCUAUGCACAACCGAAUGAAACUGCCUGAGCCUGCACCAUCCUCACAAUUGUUGCUAUGCUUGAGCCCAUUGUUCCAGCCACUGUGUGAAUUCAUCUCUUUGAGGCUCUUCCUCUUCUUGGCUGACCCUCUACUUUACCAAGCACAUGUCCUUCUCCAGGGACUGAUCUCUACUGAUAACCUAUCCAAAGUAUGUGAGAUGUAGUCUCCCCAUCCUUUCUUCUAAGGAGCAUUCUGAUUGUACUUCUUCCAAGACAUAUUUGUUCGUUCUUUUGGCAGUUCAUGGUAUAUUCAAUAUUCUUUGCCAACGCCACAAUUCAAAGGUGUCAAUUCUUCUUUGGUCUUCCUUAUUCAUCGUCCAGCUUUCACAUGCAUAUGAUGUGAUUGAAAACACCAUGGCUUGUGUCAGGUGCACCUUAAUCUUAAAGGUGACAUUUUGCUUUUCAACACUUUAAAGAGGUCUUUUGGAGCAGAUUUGCCCAAUGAGAUGUGUCUUUCGAUUUCUUGACUGCUGCUUCCAUGGCUGUUGAUUGUGGAUCCAAGUAAAAUGAAAUCCUUGACAACCUCAAUCUUUUCUCCAUUUAUCCAUGAUGUUGCUUAUUAAUCCAGUUGUGAGGAUUUUUGUUUUCUUUAUGUUGAGGUGUAAUCCAUGGUGAAGUCUGUGGUCUUCGAUCUUAACAAAAUGUGGCACAUACAUGCAAUGGAAUACUACUCAGCCAGAGAAAAAAAUGAAGUCCUGAUACAUGCUAACACAUGGAUGGAGAUUGAAAACAUACUGAGUGAAAUAAGUCAAUCACAAAAGGACGAAUAUAGCAUGACCUCCCUAUGUAAAAAGACAAGAACAGGCAAAUGUAUAGGGAUCAAAGUUUAUUAGUGGUUACCAGGGAGGGCAGGACCUUUUCUUUCCUUCAGUGCCUGGAAUAGUGCUUUGUACAUAGGAGGUGAUUUCAAGAGUGAAUGAAAUACUGAUUUCCUAAGCCACGCCACACUCUUAUAGUGUUUAAAUGUGUGUGUGUCAUUCUUCAAAACUCCUCUUUGAGAUUCUGUAGGUAAGAGCCAGAGAACCCUUUGAAUUUGGUAAAAUUAGCAUUAGUUCAGGAGCCAUAAUGUUGAGCUGGACAUCUUCCACUCACUUAGUAUCAGAGUCUUUUCAAGUUUAUCUCCUAAACCAAAUGAUUUUCCAUGUCUAACUGCUUUCUUUCCUAGUGCUCGAUGCUUUCGCUCUCUCCUGGACUACACAGUCAACUCCUAUUCCUAUUUAUCCCUGUCGUGCAGCCAGAGUAACUUUUGAAAAAAUAGAACCUUAAGGGCACUCACUGGGCCCGUAAUGUUCUGUGUGUUCUUGCUGUUAAAUAUCAUUUUUAUGCAAGUAACAC
Loxodonta africana (African savanna elephant) is the source of this 4004-nucleotide long non-coding RNA. RefSeq lists it as uncharacterized. The record is from RefSeq and is a predicted model, not a curated record. NCBI's taxonomy places the organism in Eukaryota, Metazoa, Chordata, Mammalia, Proboscidea, Elephantidae. The transcript has 3 exons.